RNAcentral lists this long non-coding RNA (423 nucleotides) under Cyanistes caeruleus (blue tit). Its description in RNAcentral is "lncRNA (ENSCCEG00000000605.1)". Lineage: Eukaryota; Metazoa; Chordata; Aves; Passeriformes; Paridae. The record is from RNAcentral.
CACCCUGAACUCAUAAGAUAACUGCAUGAUAUCACAUUCAAAAAUCAGUCUUUCUUGUAAAAUGUCUUCACAGUGCAGGAUUCCUGUUCGGUAGCUAGAAGACCCACUUUAAAGAAGAUGAGGAUUUAAUUCCCCUUUCACUGGCAGAGGUUCAAACCCACCGUUCCCACCUCUCAAGGGACACCCUAAUCAAUGAGCAACCAUCUGUUCAGGGGCCCUUAUGUAACUCUUCAUGAAUUCCAAGUCUGCCGUUAAGGGUAUUUAUGGCACUGCAUCUAUGUAGUUGACAGAUAAGGCAUGACAACUGUGGCAAAGGUAAGUCUGAGUGAGGUGCAGGUAAGGUGGUGAUACAUGACUGUGCUUCAGCUCUGGUACCUUAUCUUGUAGAAUAAAGAGUACUCUUAAGAAGGUGGAAGUCUGACA